CAAGGCGACGACGGGUAGCCGGCCUGAGAGGGUGACCGGCCACACUGGGACUGAGACACGGCCCAGACUCCUACGGGAGGCAGCAGUGGGGAAUAUUGCACAAUGGGCGCWAGCCUGAUGCAGCGACGCCGCGUGAGGGAUGAAGGCCUUCGGGUUGUAAACCUCUUUCAGUAGGGAAGAAGCCGAUCUUUUGGGUUGGUGACGGUACCUGCAGAAGAAGCGCCGGCUAACUACGUGCCAGCAGCCGCGGUAAUACGUAGGGCGCAAGCGUUAUCCGGAAUUAUUGGGCGUAAAGAGCUCGUAGGCGGUUUGUCGCGUCUGCCGUGAAAGUCCGGGGCUUAACCCCGGAUCUGCGGUGGGUACGGGCAGACUAGAGUGCAGUAGGGGAGACUGGAAUUCCUGGUGUAGCGGUGAAAUGCGCAGAUAUCAGGASGAACACCGAUGGCGAAGGCAGGUCUCUGGGCUGUAACUGACGCUGAGGAGCGAAAGCAUGGGGAGCGAACAGGAUUAGAUACCCUGGUAGUCCAUGCCGUAAACGUUGGGCACUAGGUGUGGGGGACAUUCCACGUUUUCCGCGCCGUAGCUAACGCAUUAAGUGCCCCGCCUGGGGAGUACGG
This 617-nucleotide ribosomal RNA is filed under the name Arthrobacter sp. CMT50. RNAcentral describes it as "bacterial SSU rRNA". It matches the Rfam family "Bacterial small subunit ribosomal RNA", at positions 269 to 885 of the family's 1533-position model. Lineage: Bacteria; Bacillati; Actinomycetota; Actinomycetes; Micrococcales; Micrococcaceae. The record is from RNAcentral.